CAGCAGCCGCGGUAAUACAGAGGAUGCAAGCGUUAUCCGGAAUGAUUGGGCGUAAGCGUCUGUAGGUGGCUUUUCAAGUCCGCCAUCAAAUCCCAAGGCUCAACCCAUAGUCUGCACAGGAAACUGUCGGGCUUGAGAGUGGGAGAGGUGAGUGGAAUUUCCGGUGUAGCGGUGAAAUGCGUAGAUAUCGGAAGGAACACCUGUGGCGAAAGCGGCUCACUGGACCAUUUCUGACGCUGAUGCUCGAAAGCUAGGGUAGCAAACAGGAUUAGAUACCCCCGUAGUCCCUGUCUCUUAUACA
This 301-nucleotide ribosomal RNA is filed under the name uncultured bacterium. Its description in RNAcentral is "partial 16S ribosomal RNA". It matches the Rfam family "Bacterial small subunit ribosomal RNA", at positions 509 to 808 of the family's 1533-position model. The record is from RNAcentral.